This 168-nucleotide ribosomal RNA is filed under the name uncultured bacterium. RNAcentral's name for it is "partial 16S ribosomal RNA". It matches the Rfam family "Bacterial small subunit ribosomal RNA", at positions 338 to 498 of the family's 1533-position model. The record is from RNAcentral.
CCUACGGGAGGCAGCAGUGGGGAAUUUUGGACAAUGGGCGCAAGCCUGAUCCAGCCAUGCCGCGUGAGUGAAGAAGGCCUUCGGGUUGUAAAGCUCUUUCAGCCGGGAAGAAAACGCAUGGGUUAAUACCCUGUGUGGAUGACGGUACCGGAAUAAGAAGCACCGNAU